AAAUUGAAGAGUUUGAUCAUGGCUCAGAUUGAACGCUGGCGGCAGGCCUAACACAUGCAAGUCGAACGGUAACAGGAAACAGCUUGCUGUUUCGCUGACGAGUGGCGGACGGGUGAGUAAUGUCUGGGAAACUGCCUGAUGGAGGGGGAUAACUACUGGAAACGGUAGCUAAUACCGCAUAAUGUCGCAAGACCAAAGAGGGGGACCUUCGGGCCUCUUGCCAUCGGAUGUGCCCAGAUGGGAUUAGCUAGUAGGUGGGGUAA
This 263-nucleotide ribosomal RNA is filed under the name Escherichia coli. Its description in RNAcentral is "partial 16S ribosomal RNA". It matches the Rfam family "Bacterial small subunit ribosomal RNA", at positions 1 to 260 of the family's 1533-position model. The record is from RNAcentral. RNAcentral also lists the same sequence under 1 other name. Lineage: Bacteria; Pseudomonadati; Pseudomonadota; Gammaproteobacteria; Enterobacterales; Enterobacteriaceae.